Molecule: ribosomal RNA, 490 nt
Filed under: uncultured bacterium
Lineage: Bacteria
Description: partial 16S ribosomal RNA
Rfam family: Bacterial small subunit ribosomal RNA
Source: RNAcentral
AUUGAACGCUGGCGGCAGGCCUAACACAUGCAAGUCGAACGGUAACAGGAAGAAGCUUGCUUCUUUGCUGACGAGUGGCGGACGGGUGAGUAAUGUCUGGGAAACUGCCUGAUGGAGGGGGAUAACUACUGGAAACGGUAGCUAAUACCGCAUAACGUCGCAAGACCAAAGAUGGGGACCUUCGGGCCUCUUGCCAUCGGCUGUGCCCAGAUGGGAUUAGCUAGUAGGUGGGGUAACGGCUCACCUAGGCGACGAUCCCUAGCUGGUCUGAGAGGAUGACCAGCCACACUGGAACUGAGACACGGUCCAGACUCCUACGGGAGGCAGCAGUAGGGAAUAUUGCACAAUGGGCGAAAGCCUGAUGCAGCCAUGCCGCGUGUAUGAAGAAGGCCUUCGGGUUGUAAAGUACUUUCAGCGGGGAGGAAGGGAGUAAAGUUAAUACCUUUGCUCAUUGACGUUACCCGCAGAAGAAGCACCGGCUAACUCCGUG